AAUAGUAUAAUCCUAAAAUAUGUUGUCUUUCCAAGUCAGCGAUCCCUCGGGGUUACUAUAU
This 61-nucleotide transfer RNA is filed under the name Metagonimus yokogawai. RNAcentral's name for it is "tRNA-Gly". Lineage: Eukaryota; Metazoa; Platyhelminthes; Trematoda; Opisthorchiida; Heterophyidae. The record is from RNAcentral.